AGAUUGAACGCUGGCGGCAUGCCUUACACAUGCAAGUCGAACGGCAGCACGGGAGCAAUCCUGGUGGCGAGUGGCGAACGGGUGAGUAAUAUAUCGGAACGUGCCCAGUAGUGGGGGAUAGCCCGGCGAAAGCCGGAUUAAUACCGCAUACGACCUACGGGUGAAAGCGGGGGAUCGCAAGACCUCGCGCUAUUGGAGCGGCCGAUAUCAGAUUAGCUUGUUGGUAGGGGUAAAGCCUACCAAGGCGACGAUCUGUAGCUGGUCUGAGAGGACGACCAGCCACACUGGGACUGAGACACGGCCCAGACUCCGUACGGGAGCAGCAGGUGGGUAAUUUUGGACAAGUGGGACGCGAAGCCUAGACUCCGA
Molecule: ribosomal RNA, 369 nt
Filed under: uncultured soil bacterium
Lineage: Bacteria
Description: bacterial SSU rRNA
Rfam family: Bacterial small subunit ribosomal RNA
Source: RNAcentral